UCUGAUGUUCUGCGCCCACCUGAAA
This 25-nucleotide microRNA is filed under the name Anopheles gambiae (African malaria mosquito). RNAcentral's name for it is "aga-miR-10357-3p". Lineage: Eukaryota; Metazoa; Arthropoda; Insecta; Diptera; Culicidae. The record is from miRBase by way of RNAcentral.